RNAcentral lists this ribosomal RNA (746 nucleotides) under Sphaerodoropsis cf. martinae MC-2015. RNAcentral describes it as "partial 28S ribosomal RNA". It matches the Rfam family "Eukaryotic large subunit ribosomal RNA", at positions 56 to 648 of the family's 3401-position model. The record is from RNAcentral. Lineage: Eukaryota; Metazoa; Annelida; Polychaeta; Phyllodocida; Sphaerodoridae.
GAAAAGAAACUAACAAGGAUUCCCUUAGUAACGGCGAGUGAACCGGGAAAAGCCCAGCACUGAAUCCCCCGUUCCCUGUGGACGGCGGGACCUGUGGUGUUAGGGACGGUUGCACAGGGCGGAAGGCUGCGGCGUCCGUGUCUCUUGAUAGGGUCCACUCCCAUAGCGGGUGUCGGGCCUCUAGGCACGUCCAGGCUUCUCCCUUGCUCCGUCCUCGGAGUCGGGUUGUUUGGUAAUGCAGCCCAAAGUGGGUGGUAAGCUCCAUCUAAGGCUAAAUAUGACCACGAGACCGAUAGCGAACAAGUACCGUAAGGGAAAGUUGAAAAGAACUUUGAAGAGAGAGUUCAAGAGUACGUGAAACCGCUUAGAGGGAAACGGAUGGGCCCGCAAAAUGGUCGCCGGCGGAAUUCAGCUCGCCGCCCGUCUUGCCCGUGCCGUCGUCGCGCAACUCGCGCGGCGGUGUGCACGGGACCGAGUGGCGGGUGCACUUUCCGCCGUGCGAACGGCCGCAACCGGUUCCGGGCCAGCCAGAACGACCGGGGCAAGGUGGCGCGGCGAUGCGAGUCUUCGGGCUCACGUCGCUCGCGUGUUACAGGCUCCGGUAGCGGCGGCUCUGGCUCGGGACCGAGUAGAACGAACUUUGCAUCCUUCGGCACGCCCGCGUCGGAAGCACCCCCUCGGGUGCCCCGGCUGCGGCGGCCGUCACGGGAUCUGCGGCUCGAAUUAUGGUCGGCAACCCAUCCGAC